This 73-nucleotide transfer RNA is filed under the name Paramuricea clavata. It matches the Rfam family "tRNA". From Rfam's summary of the family: Transfer RNA (tRNA) molecules are approximately 80 nucleotides in length. Lineage: Eukaryota; Metazoa; Cnidaria; Anthozoa; Malacalcyonacea; Plexauridae. The record is from Rfam by way of RNAcentral.
CUUGCGAUAGCUCAGUUGGUAGAGCGGAGGUCUGUAGUUCCUUAGGUCGUUGGUACAAGCUCAGCUUGCAAGA